Molecule: long non-coding RNA, 2002 nt
Organism: Apteryx haastii (Great spotted kiwi)
Lineage: Eukaryota; Metazoa; Chordata; Aves; Apterygiformes; Apterygidae
Source: Ensembl
GGGGGGGAUUUGUAGCUGCUGUUGCUCUGCCUCCCUCUCCCACUGCUGCCUCUCCGUCCCCCAGGAUCUCCAUCACGCGGGUGACGGCCGACAUCUCCCUGGCCAAGCGCUCCGUCCUGAACAACCCCAGCAAACACACCAUCAUCGAGCGCUCCAGCACGCGCUCCAGCCUGGGUAAGGAGGCGCCGCGGCGGCUCCGUCGCGUCGGGCAGCCCGCGGCGYGCUCGCCCUGCCGCCUGGCCGAGCAGGCGGUGGCUCCCAAGCGCGCAUCUGUAUCAGCCGGGGACCCCGGCAGCCUGGCGUUCCCCGUUCCCCAUCCCGUCUCGUCCCGGGGUGCUGCUCCCACCCGCUCCGGGGCACGGCUUGUCCCCCCCCCCCCUUCAGCACGCCGGGGGACGAGAUGCUGGGGCACAGCCUGCAUCUCCGCUGCCGCGGGGCGACUAACGUGCGCGAACGCAGCGCGCGCGCGCGGGGUGCGAGGGGAGCCGGGGCCUUCCGCCCCCGCUGGCCGAUUUGACUCAGUCUCUCUCCCCCUCCUCCCCCCUUCAUCUUCUCUUUCGUUUUUCUUUCCCCUUUUUCUCCUUUCUUUUGGGUUUCCUCCCCUCUGCGCUGCUUACUUCCUCCCCUGCUCCUGAUACAGAUGUCUUGGGUAUGUAGCUUGGACCCGUCGGGACCCCCGCCAGCCCCCUGCCUGGCCGGAGGCGGUGGGGACGCAGCCCCUUGCAGCCCCCGCUGCCUGGCCGUGACCAGCCUUGGGGAUGCUCCUGUUGGAGCACCGCCGGGUCUGGCCACCCCACAGCCUGYGGGUUAGGGAGACCCCGGUCACGCAGCCUCACCCAACCUCCCACCCCACGCACAUGUGGUCCAGGGGUGGCUUAGCCCCCCCCCCCCCCCACCCCAGGGACCUGCAGCACCCCAAGGAUCAGGGCCACCCCGGGGGCCUGCACCCUGCCCCAGGGAUCAGGGCCGUCCCUGGGAUUGGGGCCUCCGCAGGGAUCUGCACCCUCCUGGGACUGGGACCACCCCAGGGACCUGCACCCUGCCCCAGGCUUUGGGGCCAUCCCUGGGAUUGCUCUGGAGAUCUGCUCCCCCCUCCCUGGAUUGCCCCCUCCCAAGGAUCUGCCCCCUGAGAUUGGGGCCAUCCCUGGGACGGGGGCCACACCUGRGCACCUGCUCCCCACCCUGGGAUUGGGGCCAAGCCCGGAAUCAGACCCCUCUGGAAUCGGGGCUCUCUGGGCACCUGUGCCUGCCGCCCCCAGGAUCGGGGGCCUCCCUGGGGAUUGGGGUCCCUCAGGGAUCUGCACCCUCCACGGCCCCCCACGUUACGCUUCCCUGGGGGCUGCCAGGAUCCCCCCCCCCACGCAGGGCAGGCGGGACCCAGACCCGCUUCUUUCCACGCCGGGUGCUCCCACGCCUGUCCGGAGCCCUCGGGGAACCCCGGCAUCCGGGCGGCCGCGGCAGCGAGGGCUUCGGGCGCUCCUGGUGCCGGGCGAGGGCAGGCUGGGACGAGGGGUGGCCGCGGACCCGGCCAGCAUCUCCGCCCCGGCAGGGCCCCGCAGCGGGAGAGCCGGUCGGAGAGGCCGUGCCUGAGGCUGGGGCACGCGCGGCGCUCGCCCCCGGGGCAGGAGGCAGAGGGGACACGUGCGUCCUGUGUUGUCUGUCGCUAAAUCUUCCGGCGCGGGGGGACGCCGCCGCUGUCAGCCCCGACCCUGCAGCCCCCCCGUUCUCCCACCCCACGCAACCCCUCCGUUUCCCUCUUUGCUCCGUUCCCGCUCUGGCGAACCCCCCCCCGGAGCCGGGCCGGCAGGCCAGGCUGGGCAGGGCGCAUGCGCCGCGCCGGCAGCUCUGCGGGAUGCGCGUGCGUGUGCGUGGCGUGCGUGUGCCUAACCCGGCGUGGCCGCUAACCUGCGCCUCCCUGCACGGUGUGAUGCUUCUCCUAACCAGGGCCCGUUCCUAGUGCACGGGGAGCCGCCGCGCGAGGGGCAGCACGGCGGCAGCCUCC